CAAAAAGAAGCACAACAUUUUAGUUUGCUCAUCUUUAAAGCAAGAAAUGCUAUCUUGCAAUCUAAAGAGAAGCAAUAGUAUUAUCUUGCCUAUCUCAAGAAGUAAAACUUGCAACUUGCACAUUACAAAAGGAAGUAAGAAUCGCUAGCUUGCACACUUCAACAAGAAAGUUAUCUUGCAUUUGCUUUCGAAAUAUUACUAGCUUACACCUUCUAAAAAGAAAAAAAAUUAAAAAAAAAAUUGCUAGCUUGUAUGUUGUAAACUUGCUAUC
Molecule: long non-coding RNA, 271 nt
Filed under: Musa acuminata (dwarf banana)
Lineage: Eukaryota; Viridiplantae; Streptophyta; Magnoliopsida; Zingiberales; Musaceae
Description: long non-coding RNA (MACU_LNC005786)
Source: RNAcentral